This is a long non-coding RNA of Cottoperca gobio, 438 nucleotides long. RefSeq lists it as uncharacterized. The record is from RefSeq and is a predicted model, not a curated record. The transcript has 3 exons. Lineage: Eukaryota; Metazoa; Chordata; Actinopteri; Perciformes; Bovichtidae.
UGUCGUAGAAUGCGUUGUUGCUGUUGAGUUGUUGAUAUUGUGUUUGUAUUGGAUCAUUAAGGAGCCAGCCAGGAAGAGAGGUCGCUCUGACAUGUGGGAACACUUCAAUCUGAUCGCUCCUGAUAAGGUCCGGUCAUGGGAGUAUCAUGGGAAUACUUCCUCCAUGAUUAGGCACUUCACUGCCAAGCCAACACAAUGGACCAGAAGCGAGAGCUAGAUGAGGCUCUUGUGAAUAUGGUGGUGAAAGACUCGCAGCCAUUUUCCAUCGUGGAUGACUGUGGCUUCAAGGAGUUUGUGGCAUUGCUUGAUCCCACAUACACUCUUCCUGUCACAGUCUGGUUGCACUUUGGUUUCCUGUUUUAUUUUUGAUAUGUUCACUCCUCCUUGUGUCAUGUCUAGUUGUACUUCCUGUCAGUGUGUUUUCCCUCCCCUCCUGUC